This 62-nucleotide microRNA precursor is filed under the name Petromyzon marinus (sea lamprey). Its description in RNAcentral is "Pma-Mir-7-o2_pre stem-loop". Lineage: Eukaryota; Metazoa; Chordata; Hyperoartia; Petromyzontiformes; Petromyzontidae. The record is from RNAcentral.
UGGAAGACUAGUGAUUUUGUUGUUGAAAUAUGAAAAUGAGCAACAAGUCACAGUCUCCCGUC